GUCCUGGCUGUAAACGAUGAGCACUUGGUGUGGCGGGUAUCGACCCCUGCCGUGCCGAAGCUAACGCAUUAAGUGCUCCGCCUGGGGAGUACGGCCGCAAGGCUGAAACUCAAAGGAAUUGACGGGGGCCCCGCACAAGCGGUGGAGCAUGUGGUUCAAUUCGACGCAACGCGAAGAACCUUACCUGGGUUUGAACUGCAGGUGACAGCCCUCGAAAGAGGGUCUUCCUUCGGGACACCUGUAGAGGUGCUGCAUGGCUGUCGU
RNAcentral lists this ribosomal RNA (264 nucleotides) under uncultured bacterium. Its description in RNAcentral is "partial 16S ribosomal RNA". It matches the Rfam family "Bacterial small subunit ribosomal RNA", at positions 793 to 1055 of the family's 1533-position model. The record is from RNAcentral.